UCUCCGUUGGUGAACCAGCGGAGGGAUCAUUACCGAGUUUACAACUCCCAAACCCAAUGUGAACCAUACCAAACUGUUGCCUCGGCGGGGUCACGCCCCGGGUGCGUCGCAGCCCCGGAACCAGGCGCCCGCCGUAGGGACCAACCAAACUCUUUCUGUAGUCCCCUCGCGGACGUUAUUUUUACAGCUCUGAGCAAAAAUUCAAAAUGAAUCAAAACUUUCAACAACGGAUCUCUUGGUUCUG
RNAcentral lists this unclassified non-coding RNA (244 nucleotides) under plant metagenome. RNAcentral's name for it is "partial contains small subunit ribosomal RNA, internal transcribed spacer 1, and 5.8S ribosomal RNA". The record is from RNAcentral.